CAGGCAAGUCCGUAUUUGAUGCUGAAAUCCGAAAGUACAAGGAGGCUUCGGCCGAAUUGAGUGAACCUAAUCAGACUUCCGAGAAAAUCCGCUAAGCAUAUUUUGCAGUUGCCCGUACCGCAAACCGACACAGGUAGUCGAGGAGAGAAUCCUAAGGUGCUCGAGAGAUUCAUGGCUAAGGAACUCGGCAAAAUUAACCUGUAACUUCGGGAGAAGGGUUGCCUACUUCAGCAAUGAAGAGGUCGCAGAGAAAUGGCCCAGGCGACUGUUUAACAAAAACACAUGGCUAUGCGAAAUCGCAAGAUGAAGUAUAUGGCCUGACACCUGCCCGGUGCUGGAAGGUUAAGGGGGGAAGUUAGCCGCAAGGCGACGCUUUGAACUGAAGCCCCAGUAAACGGCGGCCGUAACUAUAACGGUCCUAAGGUAGCGAAAUUCCUUGUCGGGUAAGUUCCGACCUGCACGAAUGGUGUAACGAUCUGGGCGCUGUCUCAGCCAUGAGCUCGGUGAAAUUGUAGUAACGGUGAAGAUGCCGUUUACCCGUCACGGGACGGAAAGACCCCAUGAACCUUUACUAUAGCUUCACAUUGGUAUUGGGAAGAUGAUGUGUAGGAUAGGCGGGAGGCAAUGAUCUGGUGGCGCUAGCUAUCAGGGAGUCAACGGUGAAAUACCGCCCUUUAUUUUUCCGAUACCUAACCACUGUAUAGUGGGACAUUGUGUGGUGGGUAGUUUGACUGGGGUGGUCGCCUCCGAAAGCGUAUCGGAGGCUUUCAAAGGUAUGCUCAGUACGCUUGGUAACCGUACGUGGAGUGCAUUAGCAUAAGCAUGCUUGACUGUGAGACAGACAAGUCGAUCAGGCGCGAAAGCGGGAUAAAGUGAUCCGGUGGUUCUGCAUGGAAGGGCCAUCGCUCAAAGGAUAAAAGGUACUCUGGGAUAACAGGCUGAUCUCCCCCAAGAGCUCAUAUCGACGGGGAGGUUUGGCACCUCGAUGUCGGCUCGUCACAUCCUGGGGCUGGAGAAGGUCCCAAGGGUUGGGCGGUUCGCCCAUUAAAGUGGCACGCGAGCUGGGUUCAGAACGUCGUGAGUCAGUUCGGUCCCUAUCUGUGAUGGGCGCAGGAAGUUUGAGAGGCUCUGACCUUAGUACGAGAGGACCGGGUUGGAGCAACCGCUGGUGUACCGGUUGUCAUGUCAGUGGCACUGCCGGGUAGCUAUGUUGCGACGGAAUAAGCGCUGAAAGCAUCUAAGCGCGAAAUCCACCUCGAGAUGAGACUUCCUUAUAAGGGACGUCGUAGACUACGACGUUGAUAGGCUGCAGGUGUAAAGUCAGUAAUGACAAAGCUGAGCAGUACUAAUUACCCGA
Molecule: ribosomal RNA, 1357 nt
Filed under: metagenome
Description: bacterial LSU rRNA
Rfam family: Bacterial large subunit ribosomal RNA
Source: RNAcentral